Non-coding RNA from Pangasianodon gigas (Mekong giant catfish), 72 nucleotides. NCBI's taxonomy places the organism in Eukaryota, Metazoa, Chordata, Actinopteri, Siluriformes, Pangasiidae. The record is from the annotation of a GenBank genome assembly.
UCCCUAGAGGACUAGUGGUUAGGCCACGGCGCUCUCACUGCCUCGGACCAGGUUCGAUUCCCAGCCAGGGAA